Molecule: long non-coding RNA, 361 nt
Organism: Phyllostomus discolor (pale spear-nosed bat)
Lineage: Eukaryota; Metazoa; Chordata; Mammalia; Chiroptera; Phyllostomidae
Exons: 2
Source: RefSeq, a predicted model, not a curated record
GAUAAGGUUCCGCACAUCUCAGCCAGACCAAGGACCUUUAGCAAGGGAUGAUUGCUUCAGAGAACAAACUAUUCCAGCUCAGGGACUACAGUCAAAGUUUGCUAAGCAAGAGAAAACAUUUUUAGAUGAAUGAUGUUAAAAAUCCAAUACAUCGAAAUCGCUGGCUGCAGCUAACACAGUCCUUGGAGAGAAUGUUACAGCUUUAAAUGCUGAUAGUCAAAAAGAGGAAAGGGAUUGAAUUAAUUCUUGAAGGGUUGACUACAGGAACCCUGGAGAAAAAGAGUAAAUGAAACCCAAAGUAAAUAAAAGGAAGCAAAUAAUUAAAAGAAACUGAUGAAAUCAAAAAUUAACAGACCAUACA